This 605-nucleotide ribosomal RNA is filed under the name Myxocephala albida. Its description in RNAcentral is "eukaryotic LSU rRNA". It matches the Rfam family "Eukaryotic large subunit ribosomal RNA", at positions 38 to 667 of the family's 3401-position model. Lineage: Eukaryota; Fungi; Ascomycota; Sordariomycetes. The record is from RNAcentral.
GCAUAUCAAUAAGCGGAGGAAAAGAAACCAACAGGGAUUGCCCCAGUAACGGCGAGUGAAGCGGCAACAGCUCAAAUUUGAAAUCUGGCCCUCGGGUCCGAGUUGUAAUUUGCAGAGGAUGCUUUUGGUGAGGUGCCUUCCGAGUUCCCUGGAACGGGACGCCAUAGAGGGUGAGAGCCCCGUCUGGUCGGACACCAAACCUGUGUAAAGCUCCUUCGACGAGUCGAGUAGUUUGGGAAUGCUGCUCUAAAUGGGAGGUAUAUGUCUUCUAAAGCUAAAUACCGGCCAGAGACCGAUAGCGCACAAGUAGAGUGAUCGAAAGAUGAAAAGCACUUUGAAAAGAGAGUUAAACAGUACGUGAAAUUGUUGAAAGGGAAGCGCUCAUGACCAGACUUGGGCUUGGCUGAUCAACUUGGGUUCUCCCGGGUGCACUCUUCCUCGUCCAGGCCAGCAUCAGUUCGCUGCGGGGGAUAAAGGUUUCGGGAACGUGGCUCCCUCGGGAGUGUUAUAGCCCGUUGCGUAAUACCCUGCGGUGGACUGAGGUCCGCGCAUCUGCAAGGAUGCUGGCGUAAUGGUCAUCAGCGACCCGUCUUGAAACACGGACC